This 272-nucleotide long non-coding RNA is filed under the name Solanum tuberosum (potato). RNAcentral's name for it is "long non-coding RNA (STUB_LNC011886)". The record is from RNAcentral. Lineage: Eukaryota; Viridiplantae; Streptophyta; Magnoliopsida; Solanales; Solanaceae.
UCUCCAUCUAAUUCCAAUAUGCAGAGAUUUUUUUUUGCAAGUAUGCUGUAUGACAGAAUGAGAGAGAGAGGGAGAGAGGGAGAGAGAGAAGAGGAUACUGGCCAAUGGAUGCUAAUUGCUAUAGAGUUAAUGUCAGAAGGUCAUGGGAUUCUACUCAUUACCUUUUUCCUUAUAGAGUUAAUGUCAGAAGGUCAUGGGAUUCUACUAAAUGCAACUAAGUAAAGACAUCAGCAUAGUCAAAAACAACCAACAGGGGAGAGAGAGAGCGUAAG